Molecule: long non-coding RNA, 456 nt
Organism: Poecilia latipinna (sailfin molly)
Lineage: Eukaryota; Metazoa; Chordata; Actinopteri; Cyprinodontiformes; Poeciliidae
Exons: 2
Source: RefSeq, a predicted model, not a curated record
CUUAUUGACACGAUGCUGGAGCACAGAGCACAAGGAGAGCGCCGCCUGCUGGAGCAUGUCGCCCCCUGGUGGAGAGGAGAGGUGGAGUUCACCAGAGAGGAGACGAGGCUCCAGCAGCUGGGCAGUGGGUCAGGAGGAACUGGUUUUACUGGUUUAACUGGAUAAUGAUAGCAGAAAUGAUCAGCUGCUGUAUUCUCAACUGGACUCUUCAUCCUGGACUGCAGAUUUCUAGCAAAUGAAUCAUUGACGGUUGUCCUUCCUGAUUUAAGAACCAUUGUGACCAGAGGAAACGUGACUCAGAGACGUGCCGACAUCUUCCUCAAACUUUCAGUUCUGGCUUCUUGAAUUCACCUAACAGUGGGAAUCAUUUUGUCUUCUGAUCCGUUUCUCCUGAUCAGAUGCUUCUUUUUCUCAAAUCUGAACAUAAAAUAAAUGUAACAUUUAGUUUUUGCAAAC